RNAcentral lists this ribosomal RNA (505 nucleotides) under Rummeliibacillus suwonensis. Its description in RNAcentral is "bacterial SSU rRNA". It matches the Rfam family "Bacterial small subunit ribosomal RNA", at positions 380 to 876 of the family's 1533-position model. Lineage: Bacteria; Bacillati; Bacillota; Bacilli; Caryophanales; Caryophanaceae. The record is from RNAcentral.
AGUCUGAUGGAGCAACGCCGCGUGAGUGAUGAAGGUUUUCGGAUCGUAAAACUCUGUUGUAAGGGAAGAACCAGUACGUCAGGCAAUGGACGUACCUUGACGGUACCUUAUUAGAAAGCCACGGCUAACUACGUGCCAGCAGCCGCGGUAAUACGUAGGUGGCAAGCGUUGUCCGGAAUUAUUGGGCGUAAAGCGCGCGCAGGUGGUUUCUUAAGUCUGAUGUGAAAGCCCACGGCUUAACCGUGGAGGGUCAUUGGAAACUGGGAGACUUGAGUGCAGAAGAGGAAAGUGGAAUUCCAAGUGUAGCGGUGAAAUGCGUAGAGAUUUGGAGGAACACCAGUGGCGAAGGCGACUUUCUGGUCUGCAACUGACGCUGAGGCGCGAAAGCAUGGGGAGCAAACAGGAUUAGAUACCCUGGUAGUCCAUGCCGUAAACGAUGAGUGCUAAGUGUUAGGGGGUUUCCGCCCCUUAGUGCUGCAGCUAACGCAUUAAGCACUCCGCCUGG